Molecule: unclassified non-coding RNA, 1909 nt
Filed under: Amphimedon queenslandica
Lineage: Eukaryota; Metazoa; Porifera; Demospongiae; Haplosclerida; Niphatidae
Description: dNA damage-regulated autophagy modulator protein 1- like, transcript variant X1
Source: RNAcentral
GUAGAUACACUGCAUUAAUUUCUUUAAUUUUGUUUUUUAAUAAUUUUGUCCAUUCCUCUUAAAAGUUUCUAUUGUAAAAGACUGUUGCUUUUGAGAAAUUGAGAGAUACAAUAUUUGUAAUGACUGAUCAACGAAAACGGUUGUGUGCAUAAUUGUAAUCAUGACAUUUUCAUGAGCAACGCUUUAGCAUUGUUUAUUGAGCAUAAUCAGCCUUUUACUCUACUACAAGGACAGUUAACCAGCUGAAAUUAGAUGGAUCUGAUUAGGUUCUACAUAAGGAACUUAUUUAUGCAUGGAGCCCUUUAGAAUCUUGAUCAUUGAACUUUAUAACCAAUUAAAUUAACCACUCUAGCUGCCUGACUUGUGGUUCAUCACACAUUGCUCAGUUCUUCUUCUUUUGUGUAUGCUGCAUUGCUGCUGUAUGCCUCUUCUUCUCUGUUGUCAUAUAUAGUAACCAUCAUGAGAUUUGGAUGUGGCCUGGAGUUACUUGUUGUCAUUGUAGCUGUGAUUCAAUGCAUUGGAUUCAUUAUCACAUAUAUUUUAGCAGCAUAUUAUGGACACCUUACGCCCUUUUUUCCAUACAUAAGCAAUACAGGAGGAAAACCACCAGAGAGCUGCAUCUUUACACUAAUUUGCAGCAUUUCAUCCAUAAUCUUUUUAAUUCUGUUGCAUGAAGGAGAAGGGUAAGCAGGGAAUCUUUUGCUAUGCAAAGUGUAAAAUUUGGUAAUUUAAAUUAUGGAGUAUAAAUCUAGUCCUUGGGUUUUGCCAAUAUUGAAGUAACUUCUUAAGUUUCUAAAAAUAAAUAUGGUUCAAAAUUUAAGUUAAGUAACUCCUUUGCAUGCAGUUGGUGCCAUUCUGGGUUACUCAGAAGCCCUAUGUGUCCCACCAUUAGUCAUUUCUCUCUCUCUCUUCAGGGCUGCUAAUAAUAUAUAUUAGAUAUAUACAAGUAAAGCAAUACUAUCAAAAGGAUAUCAAUAGAAUAAAAUUUUUAAAUCAGUUCACAUUUUUUAUUGGAGCUGUUUCAGUAUUUGGACUUUUACUAGUUGGAUCUUUUCAAGAUCACAACGUUAAUGCCAAAGUUCAUAUGAUUGGAGCUUUUACCUUAUGGAUUUUUGGUAUAUUGCACAUGUGGUUCCAGACAUUGGUAUCAUAUAAAAUAUAUCAUACUGGAUUGACAAGACGUAUUGACAAAGUUAAUAUUUUUGGUAGACUCAUUAUUUCUCUAAUGGCAGUUAUCAUUUCUAUAAUUGGUUUGAUAUCCAUGAAAGUUUCUGAGCAACAAAGAGUACACAAAGAAGGUCAAUAUGAUCCUUUUUAUUGGGAUAGCAGUGUUGUUGGUUAUCCUCUUCAUUUGACUAGUACUAUAUCAGAGUGGUGCUUAGGAUUAACAUUUGUCCUGUUUUUCUUAACAUUUCAUGUUGAUUUCUACAGAGCCAGUUUAAAUGUCUCAUUUGUAUCACCAACACAAAGUCAAGAGGAACAAGUGUCAGUAUCAAUGAACAAGGAGCCUCUCAAUGAGAGGACACCACUUGUAGCUGUAUUAAACAGUAACUAGAUUGAGAAAAGAAACUUUUGUGAUGUACAGUGGAUAAAUUUGUUAUUAUCGCCCUUUCCUCUUAAAUCUAUAAUCAUUUUUCCAAGUUACUCUAUUUUAAAAGACUAUUGUUAUACAAGUAUAAUAAUGAACAAUAAUAGAAUUGUUAUGAAAGAGAAGUACAGUAAUUACUACAAGCAAGGAAGUUUUACUUUCAUGAAACAAGUUGUUUCUAUAAAAAAGCAUGAAUAAAAAUUGUCUACAGUAAAUAAACAAACAAAUAUCAGACUUAGUGGUUUUAAAGUUGCUCCAUACAGAUCCAGAUUAAGCCCCAUUGCAAUAAAAUUAUACUGAAUUGUAGUCACUAUACAUGCA